CGUACACUCCUACGGGAGGCAGCAGUGGGGAAUAUUGGACAAUGGGCGCAAGCCUGAUCCAGCCAUGCCGCGUGAGUGAUGAAGGCCCUAGGGUUGUAAAGCUCUUUCACCGGAGAAGAUAAUGACGGUAUCCGGAGAAGAAGCCCCGGCUAACUUCGUGCCAGCAGCCGCGGUAAUACGAAGGGGGCUAGCGUUGUUCGGAAUUACUGGGCGUAAAGCGCACGUAGGCGGAUCGAUCAGUCAGGGGUGAAAUCCCAGGGCUCAACCCUGGAACUGCCUUUGAUACUGUCGAUCUGGAGUAUGGAAGAGGUGAGUGGAAUUCCGAGUGUAGAGGUGAAAUUCGUAGAUAUUCGGAGGAACACCAGUGGCGAAGGCGGCUCACUGGUCCAUUACUGACGCUGAGGUGCGAAAGCGUGGGGAGCAAACAGGAUUAGAAACCCCAGUAGUCCCAUG
RNAcentral lists this ribosomal RNA (453 nucleotides) under uncultured organism. RNAcentral describes it as "partial 16S ribosomal RNA". It matches the Rfam family "Bacterial small subunit ribosomal RNA", at positions 330 to 799 of the family's 1533-position model. The record is from RNAcentral.